Molecule: ribosomal RNA, 507 nt
Filed under: uncultured bacterium
Lineage: Bacteria
Description: bacterial SSU rRNA
Rfam family: Bacterial small subunit ribosomal RNA
Source: RNAcentral
GAUGAACGCUAGCGGCAGGCCUAACACAUGCAAGUCGAGGGGUAGAACACUUCGGUGUUUGAGACCGGCGCACGGGUGCGUAACGCGUAUGCAAUCUACCUUGUACAGGGGAAUAGCCCAGAGAAAUUUGGAUUAAUGCCCCAUAGUAUAUAACCUUCGCAUGUUGGUUAUAUUAAAGUUCCAACGGUACAAGAUGAGCAUGCGUCCCAUUAGUUAGUUGGUAAGGUAACGGCUUACCAAGACGAUGAUGGGUAGGGGUCCUGAGAGGGAGAUCCCCCACACUGGUACUGAGACACGGACCAGACUCCUACGGGAGGCAGCAGUGAGGAAUAUUGGUCAAUGGUCGCAAGACUGAACCAGCCAUGCCGCGUGCAGGAAGACGGUCCUAUGGAUUGUAAACUGCUUUUAUACAGGAAGAAACCCUCCCACGUGUGGGAGCUUGACGGUACUGUAGGAAUAAGGAUCGGCUAACUCCGUGCCAGCAGCCGACGGUAAACACGGAGAGUA